GACGAACGCUGGCGGCGUGCUUAACACAUGCAAGUCGAACGAUGAACCCGGAGCUUGCUCCGGCGGAUUAGUGGCGAACGGGUGAGUAACACGUGAGUAACCUGCCCUUGACUCUGGGAUAACUGCUAGAAAUGGUAGCUAAUACCGGAUACGACCCUCGGUGGCAUCACCAGGGGGUGGAAAGAAUUUCGGUCAAGGAUGGACUCGCGGCCGAUCAGCUAGUUGGUGAGGUAACGGCUCACCAAGGCGACGACGGGUAGCCGGCCUGGGAGGGUGACCGGCCACACUGGGACUGAGACACGGCCCAGACUCCUACGGGAGGCAGCAGUGGGGAAUAUUGCACAAUGGGCGCAAGCCUGAUGCAGCAACGCCGCGUGAGGGAUGACGGCCUUCGGGUUGUAAACCUCUUUCAGUAGGGAAGAAGCGAAAGUGACGGUACCUGCAGAAAAAGCACCGGCUAACUACGUGCCAGCCGCCGCCGUAA
This 484-nucleotide ribosomal RNA is filed under the name uncultured bacterium. Its description in RNAcentral is "partial 16S ribosomal RNA". It matches the Rfam family "Bacterial small subunit ribosomal RNA", at positions 28 to 523 of the family's 1533-position model. The record is from RNAcentral.